AUGGAGGUCGAGAAAGGACGCAAUAUGUCGCAGAUUGGAGGAGAUGGAUGGGCCCGUUUCGUCGCUCGCAUGCAUCUUACUGGUGGUGAGUUGAUCAGCUUCAACUUGCGAGCAGAAAGACCCAAGCUAGCUGUCAUUUAUCUCAACCUGGUGGAAGAUGAUGAAGAUGACAAAGAUGAUGAAGAUGAUGAAGAUAAUGAGGACCCACUCGAUGAAGAUGAUGAGGACCCACUUCAUGAAGCCAUCGUAGCUCAAAGAACAAGGCUGAGUGAGGAGGAGGUGUCCAACCUGUGGGACAUAAUUCCGCCACGUGCUGACUUUGUCGGGGUGCCAUUCGUGACCCGCUUGACAAAUACCAUGGUUGAUCGACAUGAUAUGGUAUGUUAUAUUUACAAAUGCAAAUUAAUAGUGUGA
RNAcentral lists this ribosomal RNA (414 nucleotides) under Triticum aestivum (bread wheat). RNAcentral's name for it is "partial small subunit ribosomal RNA". Lineage: Eukaryota; Viridiplantae; Streptophyta; Magnoliopsida; Poales; Poaceae. The record is from RNAcentral.